UAGACUUCAUCUAAUCGGGUUUCCGAUCUAGGUGGUUUGGACGUGUGCCAUAUUAUUUGGCUCGUCUUAAAUGUCUAAGUGGAAUGCGUAAUAAGUUUUUCGUAACCUCCACUCUAAUACACUUUAAG
This 128-nucleotide unclassified non-coding RNA is filed under the name uncultured fungus. RNAcentral describes it as "sequence contains ITS2". RNAcentral also lists the same sequence under 1 other name. Lineage: Eukaryota; Fungi. The record is from RNAcentral.